GCUUUCUACUCUGACACAUUGGAGUUUUAAUUUGAGGGUUAUUGUAUCCGUCCAUAAAGCACAUUCUGUGAAGGAAAGCAUAAACGUAGUCAAUCUAAAAGAUGUUAGACUGCUUAUGAUCAGGUAUGUGUUUUACACUGUGAGGUCAUGCACAAGAGAGCUAAUGAAGGGUGCACAGGUGAGUCUAGGUAUGACCUUUGCAUUUGGAGUUUGUU
This is a non-coding RNA of Pelobates cultripes (western spadefoot toad), 215 nucleotides long. The record is from the annotation of a GenBank genome assembly. Lineage: Eukaryota; Metazoa; Chordata; Amphibia; Anura; Pelobatidae.